RNAcentral lists this microRNA precursor (97 nucleotides) under Canis lupus familiaris (dog). Its description in RNAcentral is "mir-544 microRNA precursor family". It matches the Rfam family "mir-544 microRNA precursor family". Lineage: Eukaryota; Metazoa; Chordata; Mammalia; Carnivora; Canidae. RNAcentral also lists the same sequence under 1 other name. The record is from Rfam by way of RNAcentral.
ACUCCCAAGGGAUCUUGUUAAAAUGCAAAUUCUGAUUCAGUAAGUCUGGGUGGUAUCUUAGAGUUUGCAUUUCUAACAAGCUCCCCAGUGAUGCUGA